Molecule: ribosomal RNA, 425 nt
Filed under: uncultured bacterium
Lineage: Bacteria
Description: partial 16S ribosomal RNA
Rfam family: Bacterial small subunit ribosomal RNA
Source: RNAcentral
GUGGGGAAUAUUGGACAAUGGGCGCAAGCCUGAUCCAGCAAUGCCGCGUGUGUGAAGAAGGUCUUCGGAUCGUAAAGCACUUUCGACGGGGACGAUGAUGACGGUACCCGUAGAAGAAGCCCCGGCUAACUUCGUGCCAGCAGCCGCGGUAAUACGAAGGGGGCUAGCGUUGCUCGGAAUUACUGGGCGUAAAGGGCGCGUAGGCGGCUCUGUGAGUCAGGCGUGAAAUUCCUGGGCUUAACCUGGGGACUGCGCUUGAUACUGCAGGGCUUGAGGCCGAGAGAGGGUGGUGGAAUUCCCAGUGUAGAGGUGAAAUUCGUAGAUAUUGGGAAGAACACCGGUGGCGAAGGCGACCACCUGGCUCGGUACUGACGCUGAGGCGCGACAGCGUGGGGAGCAAACAGGAUUAGAUACCCGAGUAGUCC